Molecule: ribosomal RNA, 565 nt
Filed under: uncultured Glomus
Lineage: Eukaryota; Fungi; Glomeromycota; Glomeromycetes; Glomerales; Glomeraceae
Description: SSU rRNA
Rfam family: Eukaryotic small subunit ribosomal RNA
Source: RNAcentral
AAUUGGAGGGCAAGUCUGGUGCCAGCAGCCGCGGUAAUUCCAGCUCCAAUAGCGUAUAUUAAAGUUGUUGCAGUUAAAAAGCUCGUAGUUGAAUUUCGGGAUUGACAUGAUGGUCGUGCCUUAAGGGGUAUGAACUGUUGCUGUUGAUUUCUCACCUUCUGGAGAAACUUGAUGUCCUUAAUUGGGUGCCUUGCGGAUCCAGGACCUUUACCUUGAAAAAAUUAGAGUGUUUAAAGCAGGCAUUUUGCUCGAAUACAUUAGCAUGGAAUAAUAGAAUAGGACGGCAUGGUUCUAUUUUGUUGGUUUCUAGGAUCACCGUAAUGAUUAAUAGGGAUAGUUGGGGGCAUUAGUAUUCAAUUGUCAGAGGUGAAAUUCUUGGAUUUAUUGAAGACUAACUACUGCGAAAGCAUUUGCCAAGGAUGUUUUCAUUAAUCAAGAACGAAAGUUAGGGGAUCGAAGACGAUCAGAUACCGUCGUAGUCUUAACCAUAGACUAUGCCGACUAGGAAUCAGACGAUGUUAAUUUUUUAAUGACUCGUUUGGCACCUUACGGGAAACCAAAGUGU